This 194-nucleotide unclassified non-coding RNA is filed under the name Glomus sp. Its description in RNAcentral is "partial contains 5.8S ribosomal RNA and internal transcribed spacer 2". The stretch from base 1 to 65 matches the Rfam family "5.8S ribosomal RNA", at positions 84 to 154 of the family's 154-position model. The record is from RNAcentral. Lineage: Eukaryota; Fungi; Glomeromycota; Glomeromycetes; Glomerales; Glomeraceae.
GUGAAUCAUCGAAUUUUUGAACGCAAAUUGCACUCUCUUCGGUGAGUAUGCCUGUUUGAGGUUCAGCCUCGAAAACAUCGACAUAGUCGCUGUUUUCGCGGUGUCAUUCGUCUGGAAUUGGGUCAUCUGAAACCUUUGGGUUUUAAGCGACUUAAUGUUUUCGUUACGGAUUCCACGAACGUUUCUAAGUUGUA